GACGAACGCUGGCGGCGUGCUUAACACAUGCAAGUCGAACGGAGCGAAUGAAAGCUUGCUUUUAUAAGCUUAGUGGCAAACGGGUGAGUAACACGUAGGCAACCUGCCGACAGGAUGGGGACAACAUUCCGAAAGGAAUGCUAAUACCGAAUGAAGCGCAGGAGAGGCAUCUCUCCUGCGUGAAAGAUGGCCUCUAUAUAUAAGCUAUCACCUGUCGAUGGGCCUGCGUCUGAUUAGCUGGUAGGUGAGGUAACGGCUCACCUAGGCGACGAUCAGUAGCCGGUCUGAGAGGAUGAACGGCCACAUUGGGACUGAGACACGGCCCAGACUCCUACGGGAGGCAGCAGUGGGGAAUCUUCCGCAAUGGGCGCAAGCCUGACGGAGCAACGCCGCGUGAGUGAAGAAGGUCUUCGGAUCGUAAAGCUCUGUUGAUGGGGACGAACGUGCCUAAUGCGAAUAGUAUAAGGUAA
This 470-nucleotide ribosomal RNA is filed under the name Centipeda noxia. Its description in RNAcentral is "bacterial SSU rRNA". It matches the Rfam family "Bacterial small subunit ribosomal RNA", at positions 28 to 475 of the family's 1533-position model. Lineage: Bacteria; Bacillati; Bacillota; Negativicutes; Selenomonadales; Selenomonadaceae. The record is from RNAcentral.